CGUGUAGGCGGGAAGUUAAGUCAGGUGUGAAAUCCCUGGGCUCAACCUAGGAACUGCAUCUGAAACUAGCUACCUUGAGUGUCGGAGAGGGAAGCGGAAUUCCGGGUGUAGAGGUGAAAUUCGUAGAUAUCCGGAGGAACACCGGUGGCGAAGGCGGCUUCCUGGACGAUUACUGACGCUGAGACGCGAAAGCGUGGGGAGCAAACA
This 207-nucleotide ribosomal RNA is filed under the name uncultured bacterium. RNAcentral's name for it is "partial 16S ribosomal RNA". It matches the Rfam family "Bacterial small subunit ribosomal RNA", at positions 568 to 774 of the family's 1533-position model. The record is from RNAcentral.